Molecule: long non-coding RNA, 1331 nt
Filed under: Betta splendens (Siamese fighting fish)
Lineage: Eukaryota; Metazoa; Chordata; Actinopteri; Anabantiformes; Osphronemidae
Description: lncRNA (ENSBSLG00000014103.1)
Source: RNAcentral
GUUAUAAGAGUCGCACUGCGCUGCCUCCACCACCGCGGGCUGAUGCUAAUGCCGAAAUGACGUCGGAGUGGAUCUUCAGCCCUAAACCACAUUGGGAAGGAAAUAUGGAAACAUGUUUAAUAUAAUACCCCAGAAAUUCCGUGGUUUGAUUAGCACUUUUUGCCUUAACUCUCCGUCAAACGCGUCCUAUCUAGCACCCAGCUCGCCGGACAACGUGGGGCUCAUCACAGAGUUAUUUGUUAAUCAGCACAGCAGCACACUUCUCUCGCCAGAUAACCACAGGCAGGAAAACAUAAUCAUACAAGAGUGCGGGAAGAAGCGAGGGAGUGGGGCUUCACAGGCAAGUGAUGGAUCUAUUACCGGUGCCCAGGACACUAACUGGAUCAUGGGAAGGGACUGUGAGCAGUUCCUUGAACAUUGAAUGCGUUCAUGAUUCAGGGUGUGACGAUACCUUCAGCUCAGGACGAGAGGAGAAGCGAUAUUCAGGUCGAGACGAGACGCCGGCGCUCAUCCGUGCCAAACUGCACGACCUUCAUUUGACAAGGUCAUGACCUUAGUAACUAAUGCUGUUGGUGCGUGUCCUCACAUACAGUAGUUUAGCUGGCAUUACAUUUAUCAUAAAUGAUAUGUUCUUUUCUCUAAGCUGAGUGGACUCGAGGCUGCUGCUGAAGUGUUUUCAUUACAGUGAGCGUUUCGCCAUCUUCUAAUUAUUGCGUCCCCAUCUUCUAAUACAACCUUGUUUGCACCGGGACCUUUUGCUGCACUAAACCACUGAGUCAUCUCCUGUUCUGCCCCUGACCUAAACAAAAAUUGCUUUUUGUUUGUGAUCAUCCAAAUGCAGCCGUCCUCAGUUCCUUUUGUAAUUUCAUCCAUUCAGCUCCUUCGGCGCUUACUCUCUCAUAAGUCGCCGUGCUCUCUGCCUUUUGUGUGCGCAAGGCUGAGUGAGGAGUGGAAAAAGAGCAGGCGCACCGCGAGAAUGAAAUGUUUAAUUUGGGUGUUUUGGCCUUGUUAUAUCAGAUGAUUAUGCACUUAACUGCUGUGUGUCUGUUCAAGGCCGUGGCGUGAUAGGUAACUGAAACACACAGACGCCGCUGCUGCUGGGGAAGAGAUUUGGGCGUGUGUUUAGGUUUUUUCAGAAAACAGUAGAUACAGCAGCACAAACUAAUCGAACUGGAUGAAUUCAAAUUAGCAUGUGGCACGAAGUCUAAAAUGAUGAUCUUGUCUUUCUAAUACAUAUUUUAUUAUUGUUUUGAUAUGUCAUUUUUUGAUCUGACCCAUAUUUAAAGAUGUGUUUAGGUUUACUCACAUUUGUUUGAGUUGUGAUAGUGGAC